GGCCUGUCUGGGUCUGGUUUCACAGAGCAACCCCUGCUGGGUCCAGCGAAGGCAGCUCAGUAAAAACCUCAGCAGGAAUAAUCAGACACAGCCUGAAGAAUAUCACAAUUUAUCCUCACUAGACCCCUCGACUGCUCAACCACAGGCACCUAUUGCAAAGACCGAGAACGAAACUAAAAUGCAAAGAUGCAAACCCCCCCCCCCCAACCCUCAUUUAAAUGGUCAUGGUUGAAAACCCUUGCAGCUGCUAUUUUAGUUCAAAACAAGGAUUCUCUCAACGUUGUUUUGAAAAGGCAGAUUUCAGCAAGGACAGAAAACCCCCUGCCAAAAUUCACAGUUGUAAUCCUUUGGCUUUCCAGCAUUGAAAGAGUUUUUGUGACAGAAAUAAAUAAAUAACACAUGUCCAAGUGGGUUCGAGAUAAGAUUUUGGUAGGUGGCACUUUUUGCCCAGAAGAACUGCACUCAAUAUUUAUCAUUUCAUGCCUGUCUGACCUGAAGAAUAUCUUGUCAAAGCAGAAAGAAAAUGAAUAUUAAGUUGGCAUUUAAGUCACACUGGGAUUAAUGCCCCUAAGAGCAUCCCAAGCAAGCAUAAGGGCUGGGAAGAGCCAUAAAAAAAAAUUGAAAUAACAAGUCAGAGCAAGCAGAGUUGUGAAAGCUUGAAGCAAAAACCGAGUUUUUAUUUGCAGCAGGGGAAGGCAUCAUCUCUGCAGCUCCCUGGGAGAGGGGACAUCCCACUCUGAGCCUGCACAGUUGCUCCUUGCACUUGUGAACUUGAGGAUCCAAUUACAGGAUGAAACCCAGCUUUGAACUUCUUGUGGCAUUCUCCAGCUGGGGCCUCGACAAAACCACACCAAGGUUUUCUGAAACCGAGUGCUUUGGCCGUGGAGAUAAAUUUAAUCCUCACUUUCCAGCUGAGCACCACGAGUGGAGGGUGGGUGGGUUUUUUUCCUCGGGCUGAGUCACCUGGAAUUUGAUUUAGAGAAAUGGGAUGAAGCCAGAUGUGCCAUGGGGAUGGCAGGUGCCACCCAAACCUUGUCCUUCCUCUGCACCUCCUCUCCUUUGUCACUCACCACUGGUUUAGGUAAAUUUAAGCAGCAAAUCUUUUAGGGGAAGGAUCAAACUCCAUUUUUAAAUUUGUUCCAAAGAGGUGCCUGGCGUGUUUUAAGUGCAAUCACACACUGCUUACAAGCUUUGCUCCAGUUUUCUACUCGGAAUGAAGAAUUCGUUUUAAAGUCUGAAAAAUCACUCUUUUAGCCUUCCUUCAUUUCUAAUAGCCAAGGAGAAACCAUAUUUACAUAUAACCAUUGCUACUUUUUGCGAAAUUCUUCAAAGACAGAGACAUCCUUAGAGUCCAGAGACCCCUCUCAAUUUUGAUGCUGUUGAAGAUGCUCGGCAGCAAUAAAUUCCCAUUCUCUCUGCAAGUCCUGCCUCUGGACUUUCCCUUUAGGCUUCCUGCGCUGGAUUUCAGCAGCGCAGCUCCUCUUGCACUGGCACAAGCCCUACCUCGGUGUAAUUACCCCACUGUGAAUUCCUCCACAAGCCCUUUCCCUGGCUCGGGGCUCCCGCAAUCUGUGGGAAGCAUCUCCCUGGAGGGGCACAGCUUGGAGGGAGGAUAUUGUUUCCAUUCACAGCCCUGGAACAUGCUAAUUAUGCCGGGAGGAAAGAGGGGGGGUGGCAGCUUUCACUUGGGAGGGACAGGCCGGGCAAAUAGUUUGUGAAACGCCAACUUAACCCCAUCUUGUAGGGAAUUGUCCGCAGCUCUUUUCCCCCUUCCUAGUUACUGUAAUGAGGGGCUGACUUCCCAGAUUAGCUCUGGCUAUUGAAAUGCUAAUUUAAUUAACAAAACAUCCUUGGGGGGGCAGGCACUACUUGUCCCUCCCAUUCAUUUAUCGGGUUUUUGAAUGCGACACUGUUUUCUUCAGGUUGAGGAGCCACAGUCAUUGCUGUGCCCACCUGGGCUGGAAAAGAGAUGUGGAGGAGAAAAAACCAGCUCCUUCAUCUCUUUUAUUUUUAAUUUAAUUUUUUAAACAACUAAAUUAGAUCGCUUUUGUUUAGAAAUAAGUGGUUUCGUGUGUCCUGCCCGGGGCGUGCGUUAUCACCAGCCCGCCAGGGAAGAAGUUUUUGCUUUUAUCUUGAUGAAGGUACCGAAUGUUUCAGCUCUCAGAUCACCUAGAAAGAAUUUUAUCUCCGGGCAAGGCAGAAAACGCGACAGUCCUUUGGAUGUCCGCUCACCCAAACCACAACGAGCAACAAAUCAACCUGAAGAUAUGAAUAAAGGAAGUAGAAAUUUGGAGGCACGAGCAAAACCAGAAGACGUGUUAUGCAUUUAUUUCUAUUUUAAUAAAGAAAGAAAGUUCCAAGGAAAACCAAUUUUGAGAACAGAUCUGCAAUGAUCCUCGUUGCUGUCCCUCCAACCAUCCCAGCAAUCAGUGGAGCUGCUUUUUUUGGUUAUCAGGGAGGUGUGUGGCUCUGGGAACAGGUUGUUCCAGCUGCUCGGAGAUGCUCAGAGCUCUGCCUGGUGUAUUUUACAGGAACUUGGUGUUUCAGGAACUCAUCCUGGCCCUCCCUUGUGGCUUCCCACUGCCACAGGGCAGGGCUUGAUGGGAUUUUGGGAAGGAAUUCUUCCCUGUGAGGGUGGUGAGGCCCUGGCACAGGGUGCCCAGAGAAGCUGUGGCUGCCCCUGGAUCCCUGGAAUUGUCCAAGGCCAGGCUGGACAGGGCUUGGAUCAGUCUGGGAUAGUGGAAGGUGUCAGAGUUGGACUGAGAUGAGCUUUAAUGUCCCUUCCCACCCAAACAAUCCCAAUUCUCUUCCAGGCACUGAUGUUCUCAGGCAGAAGGGGGAGCCCACACCUUAUUUUUUGCGUGUGAUCCUCUCCAAGCAGCGACAAACCCGUGAGAGCAGGAGGGAUUUUGGAACGCUGAGAGCUCCUGCUUGGCUGGAGUUACAGCCACACACAACCAGGGGAAGGCAGGGCCUGACUGCUCUUAUCUCGUCCUUUGCCACAAUGAGAAAUCGAGGAAGAUUUGAAUUCUAAACAACUCUAUCUUGUGUCAUCACGUCAGCUCGAAUGCCAGAAAGCAGAAUUUAAUUAAGAACUUGUUGAGCAAACAAAAAUACAGCGGUAAAACAGAGCCUUUAGAAACAGAGUAAGUCAUUGCCGCGUGACAUUUAUUUUUUGCUAAUUUACUUACACACCCACUGGGAAACCAAAUAAGUCAUCUGUAGAGUGCUGCUGUGGUUAUUUGUACAGAAGCAGUGUGUCUGAUGCUUCCCAAGGAUUCACGGGAAUGUUAAACCAUUAAACAAGCUCUGGGCUUUUGUUGGGAACUCCUCUCUGGAUGAGCAGCUGAAUAAAAGCACUGGGGAGGCUUUUUUAUCCCUGCCCAAACCCUCUUCAAAUCUUUUCUCAGCACAGAAGCUUCCAGGCAUGGCUUUAGUCACAGAUCCUUCUCCAGCCCAUAACCAGCAUUUUGAUCCAUGCCUGUGCAUCCAGGGAAACCCCAGAGUUCAUUUGAGCUCCGAGAACCCCCACAGCUCAUCCCCCUGGGAUGGGUUUCUUGGUACUUUUCUCCAAUAAAAGCUUUGAUUGCUCUUUCUGAGGAGUUUGAAAGCAAGGAUGUUCUUUUGACUUGUGGUUUUCACACCAUCUCUGCUAUUCUUUACAGAAUUCCAGAGUCAUUUAGGUUGGAAAAGACCUUGGAGACCAUCAAGCUGUGACUGAUCCCCACCUUGUCACCUGCCCAGAGCUCUGAGUGCCACAUCCAGCCCUUCCUGGGACACCUCCAGGGAUGGGGACUCCAAACCUCCCUGGGCAGCUCCAAUGCCUGAACUCCCUUUCCAUGGAGAAAUUGGUCCUUCAAAAGAAAUUCUUCCUGAUAAGAAAUUCUUCCUGGGAGAAGGAAUUAAUGACACUGCCACUGUGCUGGCUCUGUGUCAGAAAUUUGGUUCCCAAAAAGAAAUUAGAGACUGGGAAAAUAAUGUGCAGGUUUGGAGGGCUAAAGGAAUCUGAGGCUGUAGAGGGACUUGGAGCUGGAAACCUCAGCUAAAAGCUGGUAGGAGGUCCCUUAAAACUAGAAGUGAAAAUUUGGAGAACACAGAAUAUAAUCAGCCCAAAAAUAACAAUUGAAUUCUUAUGCUGAGGUGUAUAUUAACUUCUACUUGAAGCUGCAGUGGAAGCUUGGCCAAGAAAAACAUCCCAUUAAACAGGGGACGGUUUCAGCCUACAUGGGGGAGAAAUCCUUCCCAGUGUUUGUGGUUUUGUGGCUGAUGUAAAGAUAAACUCAGAAAGGUAAACUGGAAAUCGUCUCAGGAAAUGGUGUUUCUGUUCAAAGGGUGAAAAUCUGUCUGUUGCACUGACGGAGAUGAUGUUCAGCAAGCAGGGAUUCAGAGAGAUGGAAAAUACAAAAAUACAAAUGAAGAGCAGCCCCACAUGGAAUCAUAGAAAUAGCAAAGGAAAGACAAAAAUUUUGAAAAGAAAAAAUGCCCCAAAUACAAAAUUAGGAUAGAAAACUUUAACAGAGAGGAGCUCCACUAAACAGUCCUGAAAAAAGUAUUUCUGUGGUGGUUUGAUGGAAAGGAAAACAAAUGUUCCCAUAAGAAUCAAUGUUUAACAAUUGAAAUGCACAGGGACAUUAUCCUGCAGCUUAAAAUCAUUCCCACCCAAACCCCAUCCCUGAACAGAGGCACAAGGCUGUAGAGGUGGUGUGAUAAUUA
Passer domesticus (house sparrow) is the source of this 4713-nucleotide long non-coding RNA. RefSeq lists it as uncharacterized. The transcript has 3 exons. The record is from RefSeq and is a predicted model, not a curated record. NCBI's taxonomy places the organism in Eukaryota, Metazoa, Chordata, Aves, Passeriformes, Passeridae.